This 30-nucleotide non-coding RNA is filed under the name Mus musculus (house mouse). Lineage: Eukaryota; Metazoa; Chordata; Mammalia; Rodentia; Muridae. The record is from RNAcentral.
GAAUAAGGUCAGCCUCUGAGAAUACCUAGG